This 253-nucleotide ribosomal RNA is filed under the name uncultured bacterium. RNAcentral describes it as "partial 16S ribosomal RNA". It matches the Rfam family "Bacterial small subunit ribosomal RNA", at positions 524 to 776 of the family's 1533-position model. The record is from RNAcentral.
UACGGAGGGGGCUAGCGUUGUUCGGAAUUACUGGGCGUAAAGCGCACGUAGGCGGCUUUGUAAGUUAGAGGUGAAAGUCCAGGGCUCAACCCUGGAAUUGCCUUUAAGACUGCAUCGCUUGAACAUCGGAGAGGUAAGUGGAAUUCCGAGUGUAGAGGUGAAAUUCGUAGAUAUUCGGAAGAACACCAGUGGCGAAGGCGACUUACUGGACGAUUGUUGACGCUGAGGUGCGAAAGCGUGGGGAGCAAACAGG